UACCUGGUACAGGGUUCUCCAUUACUACGUGCAUUGUUCAUUAGCGAGUGCUAUCAGUUGGGAGAGAUAUUCUCAGCAGCUCAUCACAAAAUGCAAAAUGAAAAGCGGCUUGCACAACAUGGCGCUUUAGCUCAUACAGUGAGAUGGUGAAAGGCAGGGCAGAGCAGCUUGGUCAGUGCCGAGCCUCAGCCAUGACAGUAGGACCCAGGCUCCUCCCAUUUCUCUGCUUCAUCGUCUUCCACGUGUGGAUCUCUUACUCGCCACACUCACACCCAGCGCAGGAUUUGCCAAUUCUCUCUGCUCUUCUCUUCAGGAGGCAGAUCUUUCCCAGAAGCCUCCGGCCAGCUUCCCCUCAGGUCCCAUUCGUCAGGAUUGGGUCUCACAGGAGCAGCCCAUUUUGAACUAUAGUGAAGCAGGAAACAGCAGAGGGCUGCCCGUGGAGAGCCACCAGGAGUCUGUCCUGCUCUGGGAGUAAAGGAUGUAUGUUUCCAAUGUGAGUGUGACUGCUUACAGAAAGGACAAGGCUUCGGUCUGUGACGUAUCCAUUCGUGCAUGGAAGACAUCAGGAGGAGAUUCCUGCCUCUGUCCCAAGAAAAACAUGCUCCUGGUCCCACCCGCUGAUUCAAGGAGGAAUAACAAUGUGUGGAGCAGACCUGGACCCAAACUGAGGUUGGAAUCAAAUCCAACGGAGCCCAGGCUAGAUCAGCCACUCCCACACAAUCCACAGACACUGGAGUGAGAAAACAUGAAGCAGCACCUAAUUCCCCCGGAGUCCCACCCUGCCUGCCGCUGCCAGUUCUGACAGCAAGUUCUGCCGGGCGAAGCCCAAAUAUGACCCAUUUCCUAUGAGGACCAGAAACAAAGCUGCACAUGGCCUAAGAGUAAACAGUGACAGUUACCACUCUUGCUGACCAUGAAAUGGAACAUUUGUUACCCGGGGUUUAUGGUUCACGACGGAGCGGUCUUCGAGGCGUGGGGAUCGGCCGCGUCCCAUGCCUGCUCCGGGGUGGCGGGCCUCUUCUCCACAGAGCCUUCUCUGGGGGCCCCAGGAAUGAGCUGUUCACUCACCUAUUGGCCUCCAUCGCCUCCUGAGGCAGCUGCCAGAUGGACUCAUACAAUAAGCCUCCUAACCAGAUCUGGGCCGACCCCAGAGAGGAGGAUUCUGAAAGUGGGUUCUGAAGAAGUCUGCUGGUUUUAGGCGAGGAAAAGGGGGCACUCUGGGCUUGAAUUGACAUGUAAGAAACUACUCUUUU
Molecule: long non-coding RNA, 1253 nt
Organism: Myotis lucifugus (little brown bat)
Lineage: Eukaryota; Metazoa; Chordata; Mammalia; Chiroptera; Vespertilionidae
Exons: 6
Source: RefSeq, a predicted model, not a curated record